GACGAACGCUGGCGGCGUGCUUAACACAUGCAAGUCGAACGGAAAGGCCCUGCCUUUGUGGGGUGCUCGAGUGGCGAACGGGUGAGUAACACGUGAGUAACCUGCCCUUGACUUUGGGAUAACUUCAGGAAACUGGGGCUAAUACCAGAUAGGAGCUCCUGCUGCAUGGUGGGGGUUGGAAAGUUUCGGCGGUUGGGGAUGGACUCGCGGCUUAUCAGCUUGUUGGUGGGGUAGUGGCUUACCAAGGCUUUGACGGGUAGCCGGCCUGAGAGGGUGACCGGCCACAUUGGGACUGCGGUACGGCCCAGACUCCUACGGGAGGCAGCAGUGGGGAAUAUUGCACAAUGGGCGGAAGCCUGAUGCAGCAACGCCGCGUGCGGAAUGACGGCCUUCGGGUUGUAAACCGCUUUCGCCUGUGACGAAGCGUGAGUGACGGUAAUGGGUAAAGAAGCACCGGCUAACUACGUG
This 468-nucleotide ribosomal RNA is filed under the name uncultured bacterium. RNAcentral describes it as "partial 16S ribosomal RNA". It matches the Rfam family "Bacterial small subunit ribosomal RNA", at positions 28 to 507 of the family's 1533-position model. The record is from RNAcentral.